RNAcentral lists this transfer RNA (82 nucleotides) under Porphyromonas asaccharolytica. It matches the Rfam family "tRNA". Rfam says of the family: Transfer RNA (tRNA) molecules are approximately 80 nucleotides in length. RNAcentral also lists the same sequence under 2 other names. The record is from RNAcentral. Lineage: Bacteria; Pseudomonadati; Bacteroidota; Bacteroidia; Bacteroidales; Porphyromonadaceae.
GCGGUCGUGGCGGAAUUGGUAGACGCGUUAGACUUAGGAUCUAAUGCCGCAAGGUGUGUGGGUUCGAGUCCCACCGACCGUA